CUGGGCUUAAAAGUCUGAUUUGGAGACAAUCUAUAUUUCUGAAGCAACCUUCUGAGAGCUCCUAGGGUUGGCUAAGAUGCAGAUGGAAGGUAGUCUCUACAACUGAACUUUCCAGGCAGAGGAGCUGAGCGGCAAUUGGAGUGAAUGGCAUGAGCCUCCAAAGAUUACGGAAGAAAAGUGCAGUCGAAGAAAACUUCCUUUGGUUCAGUGCAAAAAUAACUGAAUGAAUCACAUGCUGAAUGAUCACAUGACAUAUGGAAAUGGUGAAUGGUCAGACCAUUGUACACCUUCCAGAAAAGCAGGCAUUUAAAGCUGACACUGAGAACAUUUGGCUCGACUUUCAUCCUUUGGUGAUCUCCUUGCCCCACAUAACGCUGUUUGCACCCUGGUUUUGGUUAUUCUGGAAUGGUCAGUGAUUCUCAAACUCAACAAGAGGAGAAAUGAUGGCAAGAAGCAAAGGCCUUCUACAACCCUCAGGUUAGAUAAGCAGCCAGGUAAGUAAGUCACCAGGAAUUUGCUGUCAUUAACGGGAAGGUUCCCAAAGAGUCAAAGGAACAUGGAUUCCUGAGGUUAAAAGCCAGUGGCCCACUAGUCUCACUUCAAAGCGUCAACCUCAGGUUCUACCAUCCACAUCUCAACAGCCCUUCCUGAAAAUAUGUUAGGCUACAUGGCACAGGGCAAUAGGGUUGCUAAUCAGCUGACUUUCAAAUAGAGAGAUCAUCCAGAAGGGCCUAAUGUAAUCAGAAGCAGCCUGAAACAUGGAGGGAGAGGCAGAAGAACCAAAGUCCUAGGGGACAUGGGGUGGAAGCAAAGUAGGAUGGAGGCUGUGAGGACUCCGCCUGCCACUGCUGGCCUUGAAGAUGGAGGAAGGGGAAGGAAUGCAGGAAGUGUCAAGAAGCUGGAAAAGGCAAGGAGAUGGAUUCUCCCCGAGUUUCCAGAAAAGAACGCAACUCUACCCAUCCUUUGAUUUUAGCCCAGUGAGAACUGUGUCAGAAUUCCAGACAACGAAACUGUCUAGAAACAAAUUAGUGUUGUUUUAUGCCACCAGGGUUAUGGUAAUUUGUGCUAGCAGUCAUAGAAAACAAAGAACGGCAUCGUUGAAUCAACCCCCAAGGUGUGCUCACUAUGGUGAAGGACCCCGGGAUGCUUAUGGGAGGCUGUGGAUGAAAACAAACCAGAGGAGGAUGGUUCAUCCUCCGACCUGGGGGCCAGACUGAGAAGCUGGAGAAAAGAAACAGUGUGUGCAUGCCUGCUGUCCCAACUGGAAAAAUUUUGAUAAAUACUUUUUUUCUGCCCUUUCAUUGUUUUCUUGUCUUUUUACAUCUCGUAGCAGUGAUUCUAGUUGGAUUUGGAUUGACUUGAGCUUUUGAUAAGAUACCCACCACUACUCCUACCUCCACUUUCCCCCCAAUCAAGGUUCCUGGGAAUUUUAGAAAUAGCUACAAAUUUGCAUCAUUGCUAGCCAGUUUCUCCAUUUCUAGGCAACUGGCUUCCCUUAGCU
Molecule: long non-coding RNA, 1501 nt
Filed under: Callithrix jacchus (white-tufted-ear marmoset)
Lineage: Eukaryota; Metazoa; Chordata; Mammalia; Primates; Cebidae
Description: lncRNA (ENSCJAG00000083694.1)
Source: RNAcentral